Molecule: ribosomal RNA, 446 nt
Filed under: uncultured bacterium
Lineage: Bacteria
Description: partial 16S ribosomal RNA
Rfam family: Bacterial small subunit ribosomal RNA
Source: RNAcentral
CCUACGGGUGGCAGCAGUCGAGAAUCAUUCACAAUGGGGGAAACCCUGAUGGUGCGACGCCGCGUGGGGGAAUGAAGGUCUUCGGAUUGUAAACCCCUGUCAUGUGGGAGCAAAUUAAAAAGAUAGUACCACAAGAGGAAGAGACGGCUAACUCUGUGCCAGCAGCCGCGGUAAUACAGAGGUCUCAAGCGUUGUUCGGAAUCACUGGGCGUAAAGCGUGCGUAGGCUGUUUCGUAAGUCGUGUGUGAAAGGCGGGGGCUCAACCCGAGGACGGCACAUGAUACUGCGAGACUAGAGUAAUGGAGGGGGAACCGGAAUUCUCGGUGUAGCAGUGAAAUGCGUAGAUAUCGAGAGGAACACUCGUGGCGAAGGCGGGUUCCUGGACAUUAACUGACGCUGAGGCACGAAGGCCAGGGGAGCGAAAGGGAUUAGAUACCCCUGUAGUC